UCUUCACUAGUGGUGAGAUUCAGCAUAGACAAUGGAGCCUGAUUAAAUCCAUUAGACUCGAUUGAAACAGAAGAGGUGUCUUUUGAUAUAGUUACCCUUUCUGGUUCGGAUGUUUCGUUAGUUACCCCUUCAGGAACACCCUCUUUCUUUAGCAUUUCCGUAUACCGUGAAGAUGGGACAUCACCCUUGCAGUACCUGCGCCACAUGCCCCGAUAUGUUGCCUCCAAACCACUGAUGAAGUUCUGCCCAUCACAAACAGGUGACUUAGACAUAAGGUCUCGA
This 282-nucleotide long non-coding RNA is filed under the name Gossypium barbadense (sea-island cotton). Its description in RNAcentral is "long non-coding RNA (GBAR_LNC000966)". The record is from RNAcentral. Lineage: Eukaryota; Viridiplantae; Streptophyta; Magnoliopsida; Malvales; Malvaceae.